Molecule: transfer RNA, 71 nt
Filed under: Eremitalpa granti (Grant's golden mole)
Lineage: Eukaryota; Metazoa; Chordata; Mammalia; Afrosoricida; Chrysochloridae
Description: transfer RNA-Glu
Source: RNAcentral
GUUCUUGUAGUUGAAUUACAACGGUGGUUUUUCAUAUCACAGGUCGUGGUUUAUUGGUCCGCGCAAGAAUU